UAAUAAUAAUAAUAAUAAUAAUAGUGUUGAAGAUGAUUGUAUAAAGAUAGAUCAGUAAAUGGAGUUCAUUAAACUUUUCCAACAAAAUUGUGAAUUAUUUUUAACUAGGCUAAAGCAAUGACAAAACAAAGCAUUAAAAAUAAAUGCAAACCAAUAUUCACCUUAUUGACAGAAAAAAAUAAGCUUGUCUCAUUAGCACUUGACCUCAAUUGUAAGUGAUACACCUUUGCUCCAUCUAGAGAAGGCAUGGGCAACCUUUUUCAAGAAGCACGCUGCAUGUAACAGGCUCAUCAGGUGGGCUGCACUACUAAAAAAAUUCAAGGUAAUUUUUCGUUAAUGACCCUUUCAAAAAGUCCUGCAGGCCACAAUAUGCCUGACUGAUCUAGACAUAACAAUUUUCCAUUGCUCCAUUCAUUUAUGACACACCAAGCACUUUCACCGAUCUUUCAUAAAAAUCCUCCUGAUGGCAAACUGACUCAGCCUUCCUCAUCAUUUUUUUUUUGUCUUGAAAAAUUCCAUGAGAGCUGUAUUGAGGAAGCCCAUGUUUUUCAUCCUCACUACUCCCAGUUUUGACCAUCUUAUUACUUCCUUUGCAACCACCACCACCACCACCACCACCACCACCAUCAUCACCACCACCAUCCAGCUCAAGAAUAUUGUCCAGUCUUCUUGCCAAAAGACAGCAGCAGCAACAAAAAUCUAUUCUCAGAAAUCUUGUUUCUAGCAUUACUGAUCCCACCCUCAUUCUCAAUAGUGACACCCCAACUCACUUUGAAAAGAAAUCAAAGGAUACAUUAGAUAAGGGUAUAAAGGUUAAUUUCUAGUUUCUGAUCACAUUCCAGACACACUUGGCUAACUGAACUACCCUUCGUUAGUUACAAACUUCUAAGAACAACAUAAUACCCAAAUUUGGCACCAAUUCCACAUAGGUUUCUGAGUUCUAAAGUUUCAGUCAUAGACUCCUUCCUAUUUUGCUUAACCCUUAAAUUUUAUCCUAAUGUGAAAGCAUUUCUAAAAUAAAAUACUUUUUAAUAUAUUAGCUUCCAGUCAGUUGAUUCCUAUUUUUUUACACUUUUUUUUUUUAACACAGGAAAUGGAAAGUGAAAUAAGAAAAGCUUUUACACACACACACACACAUAUACAAACAAACAAACAUUCAGUUUUAGCAACAUAAUAUUCUGUCCCAAGAGAUGAAAAAAAACAUUUGAAACUGCUGAAUAAUGUAGCAUCUUGUAAUACAUAUAUAUAUAGAGAGAGAGAUCCUUUGCCAUUCAUAUUGGCUCAUAGGGCUGGUUCCACACCCCCACUUCCUGGAUAGGAUGCCAGGCCAUUGCAGGAUUACUCCAUUUUACCAGAUGGGUGGACUAGAGGAGGGUGAAAUGAAGUGUCUUGCUCAAGAGCACAAUAUGUCUUCUAAUCCAGGAAUUAAAACCACAAUCUUACGAUCAUGAAUCCAACAUCUCCUAACCACUGAGGCACAAUCAAGAGUCAAGUGAACUUGCCCAUUAGCAACAGAAAAUCCAAUGUCUCAAACAGUCUUUUUCAGGAAAAAGGUUGAAAGGAGAGAAAUUGAUGAGACUCAGCAGAGUUUUACAUACUCUCCCUUCUGUCUGUUAUUAGUUUCCCUCCUUUCAGCUUUUCCUUGAAGAAGGACUCAGUCCAAAACAUUUGAUUUUCCACCUUCACAGCUUGUUCACCAUACACUUUUUUGAUUUUACUACAUGUAUGAGUGUGUGUGUGUGUGUGUGCGCACAUGUUAAUCUUCCCUUCUAUUUUUUUUACUCUCAUAACACUUGUUAAAGACAGUUUGUCUACCCUUUGUUUUUAUAUUGUUACUGUUUUUUGUCAUGACACAAUAUGAAAUUGUCAAACGUCCCUGGCUUUCUCUCAAAGACAUCUACACAGAUUAAUACAAACAAAGAAAUGACACUCAAACAGUUUGUGUCUUCUAGGUUUACGGCUUACGACAAAGAUAAAUGAUUAUUAGGUUUUGACAGAAUCAUUACAGCAUAGGAAAGAAAUACCUUGUGGUAUUUAUUCUGGCCAUUUAUAUUCUGAGUCCCAAUCCUGCAGUAAUCAACUUUACAUUUUCAGUCUCUUUAGGAUCAAUGAAACAAAAUGCCAACCAAAUAAUGCUCAGUUUUGAAAGGAAGCCAUUCAGUCAAUUACUUUGACUACAAUGUUUGACCGGUACCUUAUUUUAUUGACUCCAGAGGGAUGAAGAGCAAAGUUGACGUCGUCAGGAUUUGAACUCAGAGCAAAUAACACCAGACAUAUUUUCUUAUGCUAUAACAAUCCUGUUGAUUUGCUGCCCUUUACAGAAUAAUAAAGACAAGUAUAAUAGAACAGGGCGGUUCUCUUGUUGUUUCAAAGACUUUCCUUUGAUUGAUGGAUUGAAGUUACUCUUUGUGAAUCAAAUCUCUAAUUUCCUGUCAGAAGAUUUUCAUUCCACUUGUGUCACUGAUUCUUUUGUGAAGCAGGAUUUGGGCAAAUUGUUUUAAUACCCCCCUGCCUCUGUUUCCUUAUACUCUUUAAACUCAAAAAGCAUGAUUUUAUUUGAUUAUAUCCCUGGAAACCGCAGAAGAAAUAGGGCUAGAUGGUUUCAUAUUUACUGUUUGCUGAUUGGGAGAAAAAUAGUUAUUUUCAGCCAUAAACUCAAAAACACAUGGCCAAUUGCUUUUGUGUUUUACGGGGAGUAUAGUCAAAUAAAAUUGUACCUGCAAGUUCAGAGGGUUAAAAAA
Molecule: long non-coding RNA, 2741 nt
Filed under: Octopus sinensis (East Asian common octopus)
Lineage: Eukaryota; Metazoa; Mollusca; Cephalopoda; Octopoda; Octopodidae
Description: uncharacterized LOC118767469
Source: RNAcentral